Long non-coding RNA from Sycon ciliatum, 290 nucleotides. RefSeq lists it as uncharacterized. NCBI's taxonomy places the organism in Eukaryota, Metazoa, Porifera, Calcarea, Leucosolenida, Sycettidae. The record is from RefSeq and is a predicted model, not a curated record. The transcript is spliced from 3 exons.
GUGACCAGCACGGACUACCGGCCGCUAUGGAGUGAGCGGAACGGACGAGAAUGGUAGCCUCCACGCGACGCUAUCAAGCUGUUACUGUGAAUCAUCACAUGCUAUCUUGACGUGUGGCUUAUCAGAUUAUUCCAAGGACGGCUUCAUCUGUAGUGGUUACAGCAUUGUUGAGAGCCGGCCCAACACCAUCGGUUGUGAACAUUGUCCUCAAGGAAAAGAAAUACAAAGGCCUGAUGAUUCAACAUGCACAAAUAUCCCGUCAGUAACAACGACUGGACAAAGGUGACUGU